ACUCUAACCAUUAACAACCGAGCCCCAAAAUAGACUGUGUCUAACCAUUCCUGAUCUUUCUCGAAUCCUAAUCGACUUCACAUACAUUUCUAUCAAGAAAUUUGAACUUUAUUUGUAUUUCCCAGACCAAGAUUUCUCUUUGUAUUUCCCAGACCAAGAUUUCUCUUUUUUCAUCCUUAUACUCUUCCAAAUCAAAUUCCCCAACCUAGCUUAUCAAAUUCAACUUCAACACAUUCUGGAACAAAUUUACAUGCUCUGGAUAUUCGUUCCUGCAUUCAUAUGAAGAUCACCCAGUGGGAUGGCGCGGCAAAAUAAUUUAGCCAUAACAAGGAUGAGCUAGAAUGGAGUUGAGCAAACACCUCUGGACAUUAUAGUUUCAUCAACAUAUGUCAAACAAUAUGUAGGUAAUAAAUAAAGUUCGGAUGAGUCGCGGAGCGAAAAGAGCAG
Molecule: long non-coding RNA, 447 nt
Organism: Papaver somniferum (opium poppy)
Lineage: Eukaryota; Viridiplantae; Streptophyta; Magnoliopsida; Ranunculales; Papaveraceae
Exons: 3
Source: RefSeq, a predicted model, not a curated record